CUACGGGAGGCAGCAGUGGGGAAUAUUGGACAAUGGGCGCAAGCCUGAUCCAGCAAUGCCGCGUGAGUGAUGAAGGCCUUAGGGUCGUAAAGCUCUUUUACCAGGGAUGAUAAUGACAGUACCUGGAGAAUAAGCUCCGGCUAACUCCGUGCCAGCAGCCGCGGUAAUACGGAGGGAGCUAGCGUUGUUCGGAAUUACUGGGCGUAAAGCGUACGUAGGCGGUUAUUCAAGUCAGAGGUGAAAGCCCGGGGCUCAACCCCGGAACGGCCUUUGAAACUAGGUAGCUAGAAUCUUGGAGAGGUCAGUGGAAUUCCGAGUGUAGAGGUGAAAUUCGUAGAUAUUCGGAAGAACACCAGUGGCGAAGGCGACUGACUGGACAAGUAUUGACGCUGAGGUACGAAAGCGUGGGGAGCAAACAGGAUUAGAUACCCUGGUAGUCCACGCCGUAAACGAUGAUAACUAGCUGUUCGGGCACUUGGUGCUUGAGUGGCGCAGCUACGCAUUAAGUUAUCCGUCCGUCGGGUAGGUACGGUCGUCGAAGAAGUAAACGUUAACGAAAGGAAAGUUAGUAACGGUCGUGAGAGUGCCGACGGACGACGACGAGGGAGGAGG
RNAcentral lists this ribosomal RNA (612 nucleotides) under uncultured bacterium. RNAcentral describes it as "bacterial SSU rRNA". The stretch from base 1 to 516 matches the Rfam family "Bacterial small subunit ribosomal RNA", at positions 339 to 873 of the family's 1533-position model. The record is from RNAcentral.